This 408-nucleotide ribosomal RNA is filed under the name uncultured bacterium. Its description in RNAcentral is "partial 16S ribosomal RNA". It matches the Rfam family "Bacterial small subunit ribosomal RNA", at positions 28 to 526 of the family's 1533-position model. The record is from RNAcentral.
GACGAAAGCUGUCGGCGUGCUUAACACAUGCAAGUCGAACGGAGUGGCGAACGGGUGAGUAACUCGUGGGUCACCUUCCCUGCACUUCCGGAUAAGCCUGGGAAACUGGGUCUCAUACCGUAUAGUGUGGGUUGGGCCCGCGGCCUAUCAGCUUGUUGGUGGGGUAAUGGCCUACCAAGGCGGCGACGGGUUGCCUGCCUGAGAGGGUGGACGGCCACAUUGGGACUGAGAUACGGCCCAGGAUCCUACGGGGGGCAGCAGUGGAGAAUAUUGCACAAUGGGCGGAAGCCUGAUGCAGCGACGCCGGGUGGGGGAUGACGGCUUUCGGGUUGUAAACUCCUUUCACCAUCGACGCGGUAGAUGGAGAAGAAGCACCGGCUAACUACGUGCCAGCAGCCGCGGUAAUAC